RNAcentral lists this transfer RNA (73 nucleotides) under Camelus bactrianus (Bactrian camel). It matches the Rfam family "tRNA". Rfam says of the family: Transfer RNA (tRNA) molecules are approximately 80 nucleotides in length. Their secondary structure includes four short double-helical elements and three loops (D, anti-codon, and T loops). Lineage: Eukaryota; Metazoa; Chordata; Mammalia; Artiodactyla; Camelidae. The record is from Rfam by way of RNAcentral. RNAcentral also lists the same sequence under 3 other names.
GGGUAUGUAACUCAAGUGGUAGAGCAUAUGCUUAGCAUGCAUGAAGUCCUGGGUUCAAGUCCCAGUACCUCCA